Tetranychus urticae (two-spotted spider mite) is the source of this 951-nucleotide non-coding RNA. Lineage: Eukaryota; Metazoa; Arthropoda; Arachnida; Trombidiformes; Tetranychidae. The record is from RefSeq and is a predicted model, not a curated record.
UCACUUUCUGCUUAACCCAUGUUAGGUUUAAGUGAGCCUGAGAGCUGAGCAAAUUGAAACCGAAUCGAGUUAUAAAAGGUAAAAUUGGUCCAACGAUAACAAUACUUUCCUAACCGUUAAACAAUUAUUACUAUAUUAUUAUAAACCAUUUUGGUCAUUACAGCUUUGAUUAACCUGUAAAAUCAGCAACCCAUGAUAUAACUGACAGGAGCAGGGUUACUUUGGUCUUGACUUGGUUAAACGCUUAAUUGUUGUCACUAAUUAUUGGUCAUUCUUUUCUUCUCCUCACUUCUCUACUGGUGAGGCCAAUCGAAAUUUGUUCAAAUCAUUUUGCAGCCAGUCCAGGUUAAGAAUAAAAGUAACCAAAAUAACUGGAAGAAUGAAACCCAAAAAAAUAAUGGCCAAAAUGAGUGAGAGCGUUUCCAACCGAAUGCUGACCCAUCCUUCCUCAAUGUAAUUGUCCAAUUAAAAUUAUACCAAGAUUUUUAUAUAUAAACAAAUAGACAACAGGUGAGACGAUUUUUCCACUUCGAGAUUUCAACUCGCCAGCUUGAGUUGUUCAUAAGCAACAUUUUAAGUGCGAAUAACCUUUUAAAACAGUUUUCCUGAAUCCAUUUCACGAUGCGUUUCUUGUUGAGGUUACUAGCAAUUUUUGCUGUCAUCUCGUCUAUUGCAGCAACAUCGGGUUGGGGUUGGUAUCCUUGGCUUUAUCCUGGACAUUAUCCAUAUUAUUUUGGUAAAUAAAAUUCUAGCUGUUAAAUUUCUUGAGUCAUGGUUCCAAUAAUUAGUGUUGAUAAAACAUUUUCUUGCUCUUUUGUGCGCCAUGUUAGGUUAUCCUCAUUAUUAUGGUGGCAGCUAUGGAACAGGUUACGGCAUUUGGGGUGGAUAUGUUGGUUGAUGGUGAUCAAAUCGAUGACAAUCAAAUGGAUCGUGAUUAAUUUUUUGGAAAAA